RNAcentral lists this ribosomal RNA (492 nucleotides) under uncultured bacterium. RNAcentral describes it as "partial 16S ribosomal RNA". It matches the Rfam family "Bacterial small subunit ribosomal RNA", at positions 29 to 507 of the family's 1533-position model. The record is from RNAcentral.
AGUGAACGCUGGCGGUAGGCCUAACACAUGCAAGUCGAACGGCAGCACGGUAAGAGCUUGCUCUUACGGGUGGCGAGUGGCGGACGGGUGAGGAAUACAUCGGAAUCUACUUUUUCGUGGGGGAUAACGUAGGGAAACUUACGCUAAUACCGCAUACGACCUACGGGUGAAAGCAGGGGAUCUUCGGACCUUGCGCGAUUGAAUGAGCCGAUGUCGGAUUAGCUAGUUGGCGGGGUAAAGGCCCACCAAGGCGACGAUCCGUAGCUGGUCUGAGAGGAUGAUCAGCCACACUGGAACUGAGACACGGUCCAGACUCCUACGGGAGGCAGCAGUGGGGAAUAUUGGACAAUGGGCGCAAGCCUGAUCCAGCCAUACCGCGUGGGUGAAGAAGGCCUUCGGGUUGUAAAGCCCUUUUGUUGGGAAAGAAAAGCAGCAGGUUAAUACCCCGCUGCUCUGACGGUACCCAAAGAAUAAGCACCGGCUAACUUCGUG